This 341-nucleotide unclassified non-coding RNA is filed under the name Phomopsis sp. RNAcentral describes it as "partial contains 5.8S ribosomal RNA, internal transcribed spacer 2, and large subunit ribosomal RNA". RNAcentral also lists the same sequence under 2 other names. The record is from RNAcentral. Lineage: Eukaryota; Fungi; Ascomycota; Sordariomycetes; Diaporthales; Diaporthaceae.
AACGCAAGUUGCGCCCGGAGCCUUCUGGCCGAGGGCACGUCUGCCUGGGCGUCACGCAUCGUUGUCCCCACCCACACAACUCCCCCGCCCACCGUGCGGGCUCGUUGUGCGGGCGAGGGCACACACUGGCCUACCGUGCGCACCGUCGUGCGGAUGGCUUAAAUUCGAGUCCUCGACGCUCGUCGUCGCGACACUACGGUGGUUGAUCCAACCUCGGUGACGCGUCUCGGCCUCGACGUCGCCUCCACGGACUCCUGCAUGACCCUCCGAACGUCGCCCCCGCAAAGGGACGACACUCUCGACGCGACCCCAGGUCAGGCGGGACUACCCGCUGAGUUUAA